GAUGAACGCUGGCGGCGUGCUUAACACAUGCAAGUCGAACGAAGCACUUUAUUUGAUUUCCUUCGGGACUGAUUAUUUUGUGACUGAGUGGCGGACGGGUGAGUAACGCGUGGGUAACCUGCCUUGUACAGGGGGAUAACAGUUGGAAACGGCUGCUAAUACCGCAUAAGCGCACAGCAUUGCAUGAUGCAGUGUGAAAAACUCCGGUGGUAUAAGAUGGACCCGCGUUGGAUUAGCUAGUUGGUGAGGUAACGGCCCACCAAGGCGACGAUCCAUAGCCGACCUGAGAGGGUGACCGGCCACAUUGGGACUGAGACACGGCCGAAACUCCUACGGGAGGCAGCAGUGGGGAAUAUUGCACAAUGGGCGUAAGCCUGAUGCAGCGACGCCGCGUGAGCGAAGAAGUAUUUCGGUAUGUAAAGCUCUAUCAGCAGGGAAGAUAAUGACGGUACCUGACUAAGAAGCACCGGCUAAAUACGUG
RNAcentral lists this ribosomal RNA (481 nucleotides) under uncultured bacterium. RNAcentral's name for it is "partial 16S ribosomal RNA". It matches the Rfam family "Bacterial small subunit ribosomal RNA", at positions 28 to 507 of the family's 1533-position model. The record is from RNAcentral.